UUGACGAAGUAAAUGCGAACGAUUAUCUUAACAACCGUGGCGCUUGCCAGGCGCCACACGCCAUAGCAGAGAAUGUCAGGUUUUCUGCCAUGGUUUCUCCUCAUCAAGCUAGUCACGGUCUUUCGCCGCUCCUCCCGGAGCGGCUUUUUCUU
This 152-nucleotide small RNA is filed under the name Franzmannia pantelleriensis. Its description in RNAcentral is "Halomonas pantelleriensis PrrF RNA". Lineage: Bacteria; Pseudomonadati; Pseudomonadota; Gammaproteobacteria; Oceanospirillales; Halomonadaceae. The record is from RNAcentral.